GAGUGAAGUUGUUGUACGGGAACCACGCUGCUCGCCUUCUGCAUCUCCUCCCACUCGUCUAGCCCGUCCACCGUGUCCAGCAGGUCUUACUAGUUGUGGAGUUUUCAGGUUUUCAUAGAGACAAGAUAUAGGAUCGAAAAAAAGUAAAGAAUGAUGCACAGGAUGGAAUGGAAGGAAAGAGAAGAGUUCAAGGAAGGAAGGAAGGAAGUAUGUUGAGAAGUGACGAGCAGGAGAGAAGCAGACCCAGGAGGAGGCAAUGACAGAGAGCAAGCAGAGGAGGGCAAGGCUGUGAAGGGAACGGUUGAGCCUAGGGAGAGCAGUAUGGUAUCCAAUUGAUGCAGGGGAAACUCAGGAACCUUUCGAUUCCAGACCAGUUUCUUACGCGCGUGCCACUUUGUCUUCAUUGUAGCCAAGAAGUCCUGGACAGUCAUCUGGAUGCUGGUCCCACUAGGGCAAGGGAAGUUCAGAAGUGUAUGAAUCAGCAUCUACUGAAAAGAUACAGUCAGGUUACUGAAGAGAGAAGAUACAGACAUGUUAAUUGUUACUGUCACAAUCAUUGUGACAAUGAUGAAUAUGGAAUUUCUAAAAGCAACUGAAUAUUAUUAGUUUUUCUCCCUCUUGGGGUUCCUGACAAAUACAAAAGCAUAGCAUGCUUCCACCAAAUUACCACCACAACGACGUGUCCGAAAACAAACCUGUAAAAAUUAAAAUCCAUUAG
This 718-nucleotide long non-coding RNA is filed under the name Portunus trituberculatus (swimming crab). RNAcentral's name for it is "uncharacterized LOC123511650, transcript variant X4". The record is from RNAcentral. Lineage: Eukaryota; Metazoa; Arthropoda; Malacostraca; Decapoda; Portunidae.